AAUGCAGCAACAACAGAAGCUACAACCACAACCACUCGUCCCACACCGACAGCUGAAGCUCAAAUGGCUACAACUAAACAUAUGACCCCCAUAGCUACUCAAACAACAAUAACACCAUCUACAACAGCAGCUAAAACUACAACAGCUCCUACAACAAAAACUGUUACACCUAGAACAUCGGUCCACACCACAUCAAGUACACCAGCUAAAACAGAAGGUCCAACCACAACAACUCUUCCCACACCGACGGCUGAAGCUCAAAAGACUGCAACUAAACCGACCACCACCAUAGCUUCUCAAACAACAAUACCACCCACUACAAUUGGGGCUGAAACUACAACUACUGCUCCAUCAACAACAGCAGUUCAUACCACAUUAGGUACUCAAGCUACAUCAGAAGGUCCAACCACAACAACUCGUCCGACACCGACAGCUGAAGCUCAAACGACUACAACCAAAACAGCCACCACGAUGGCUGCUCAGACAACAAUACCACCUUCUAUGACAGCAGCUCAAACUACAACUAUCGCUCCAACAACAAAAACUGUUCCACCAACAACAGCAGUUCAUACCACAUUAGGUACUGCAGCUACAACAGAAGGUCCAACCACAACAACUCUUCCCACACCGACGGCUGAAGCUCAAAAGACUGCAACUAAACCGACCACCACCAUAGCUUCUCAAACAACAAUACCACCCACUACAAUUGGGGCUGAAACUACAACUACUGCUCCCACAACAAAAACUGCUCCAUCAACAACAUCAGUUCAUACCCCAUUAGGUACUCCAGCUACAACAGAAGCUCCAACAACAAUUAAUCUUCCCACGACAGCUGAAGCUCACAUGACUACAACUAAAACUGCCACCACCAUCGCUGCUCAAACAACAAAAGCACCUUCUACGAUUGCAGCUCAAACUACUACUAUUGCUC
Molecule: long non-coding RNA, 931 nt
Organism: Anguilla rostrata (American eel)
Lineage: Eukaryota; Metazoa; Chordata; Actinopteri; Anguilliformes; Anguillidae
Exons: 2
Source: RefSeq, a predicted model, not a curated record